RNAcentral lists this ribosomal RNA (2620 nucleotides) under Escherichia coli. RNAcentral's name for it is "partial 23S ribosomal RNA". It matches the Rfam family "Bacterial large subunit ribosomal RNA", at positions 322 to 2925 of the family's 2925-position model. Lineage: Bacteria; Pseudomonadati; Pseudomonadota; Gammaproteobacteria; Enterobacterales; Enterobacteriaceae. The record is from RNAcentral.
GUGUGUGUUAGUGGAAGCGUCUGGAAAGGCGCGCGAUACAGGGUGACAGCCCCGUACACAAAAAUGCACAUAUUGUGAGCUCGAUGAGUAGGGCGGGACACGUGGUAUCCUGUCUGAAUAUGGGGGGACCAUCCUCCAAGGCUAAAUACUCCUGACUGACCGAUAGUGAACCAGUACCGUGAGGGAAAGGCGAAAAGAACCCCGGCGAGGGGAGUGAAAAAGAACCUGAAACCGUGUACGUACAAGCAGUGGGAGCCUCUUAAUGGGGUGACUGCGUACCUUUUGUAUAAUGGGUCAGCGACUUAUAUUCUGUAGCAAGGUUAACCGAAUAGGGGAGCCGAAGGGAAACCGAGUCUUAACUGGGCGUUAAGUUGCAGGGUAUAGACCCGAAACCCGGUGAUCUAGCCAUGGGCAGGUUGAAGGUUGGGUAACACUAACUGGAGGACCGAACCGACUAAUGUUGAAAAAUUAGCGGAUGACUUGUGGCUGGGGGUGAAAGGCCAAUCAAACCGGGAGAUAGCUGGUUCUCCCCGAAAGCUAUUUAGGUAGCGCCUCGUGAAUUCAUCUCCGGGGGUAGAGCACUGUUUCGGCAAGGGGGUCAUCCCGACUUACCAACCCGAUGCAAACUGCGAAUACCGGAGAAUGUUAUCACGGGAGACACACGGCGGGUGCUAACGUCCGUCGUGAAGAGGGAAACAACCCAGACCGCCAGCUAAGGUCCCAAAGUCAUGGUUAAGUGGGAAACGAUGUGGGAAGGCCCAGACAGCCAGGAUGUUGGCUUAGAAGCAGCCAUCAUUUAAAGAAAGCGUAAUAGCUCACUGGUCGAGUCGGCCUGCGCGGAAGAUGUAACGGGGCUAAACCAUGCACCGAAGCUGCGGCAGCGACACUAUGUGUUGUUGGGUAGGGGAGCGUUCUGUAAGCCUGUGAAGGUGGCCUGUGAGGGUUGCUGGAGGUAUCAGAAGUGCGAAUGCUGACAUAAGUAACGAUAAAGCGGGUGAAAAGCCCGCUCGCCGGAAGACCAAGGGUUCCUGUCCAACGUUAAUCGGGGCAGGGUGAGUCGACCCCUAAGGCGAGGCCGAAAGGCGUAGUCGAUGGGAAACAGGUUAAUAUUCCUGUACUUGGUGUUACUGCGAAGGGGGGACGGAGAAGGCUAUGUUGGCCGGGCGACGGUUGUCCCGGUUUAAGCGUGUAGGCUGGUUUUCCAGGCAAAUCCGGAAAAUCAAGGCUGAGGCGUGAUGACGAGGCACUACGGUGCUGAAGCGACAAAUGCCCUGCUUCCAGGAAAAGCCUCUAAGCAUCAGGUAACAUCAAAUCGUACCCCAAACCGACACAGGUGGUCAGGUAGAGAAUACCAAGGCGCUUGAGAGAACUCGGGUGAAGGAACUAGGCAAAAUGGUGCCGUAACUUCGGGAGAAGGCACGCUGAUAUGUAGGUGAAGCGACUUGCUCGUGGAGCUGAAAUCAGUCGAAGAUACCAGCUGGCUGCAACUGUUUAUUAAAAACACAGCACUGUGCAAACACGAAAGUGGACGUAUACGGUGUGACGCCUGCCCGGUGCCGGAAGGUUAAUUGAUGGGGUUAGCGGUAACGCGAAGCUCUUGAUCGAAGCCCCGGUAAACGGCGGCCGUAACUAUAACGGUCCUAAGGUAGCGAAAUUCCUUGUCGGGUAAGUUCCGACCUGCACGAAUGGCGUAAUGAUGGCCAGGCUGUCUCCACCCGAGACUCAGUGAAAUUGAACUCGCUGUGAAGAUGCAGUGUACCCGCGGCAAGACGGAAAGACCCCGUGAACCUUUACUAUAGCUUGACACUGAACAUUGAGCCUUGAUGUGUAGGAUAGGUGGGAGGCUUUGAAGUGUGGACGCCAGUCUGCAUGGAGCCGACCUUGAAAUACCACCCUUUAAUGUUUGAUGUUCUAACGUGGGCCCCUAAUCGGGGUUGCGGACAGUGUCUGGUGGGUAGUUUGACUGGGGCGGUCUCCUCCUAAAGAGUAACGGAGGAGCACGAAGGUUGGCUAAUCCUGGUCGGACAUCAGGAGGUUAGUGCAAUGGCAUAAGCCAGCUUGACUGCGAGCGUGACGGCGCGAGCAGGUGCGAAAGCAGGUCAUAGUGAUCCGGUGGUUCUGAAUGGAAGGGCCAUCGCUCAACGGAUAAAAGGUACUCCGGGGAUAACAGGCUGAUACCGCCCAAGAGUUCAUAUCGACGGCGGUGUUUGGCACCUCGAUGUCGGCUCAUCACAUCCUGGGGCUGAAGUAGGUCCCAAGGGUAUGGCUGUUCGCCAUUUAAAGUGGUACGCGAGCUGGGUUUAGAACGUCGUGAGACAGUUCGGUCCCUAUCUGCCGUGGGCGCUGGAGAACUGAGGGGGGCUGCUCCUAGUACGAGAGGACCGGAGUGGACGCAUCACUGGUGUUCGGGUUGUCAUGCCAAUGGCACUGCCCGGUAGCUAAAUGCGGAAGAGAUAAGUGCUGAAAGCAUCUAAGCACGAAACUUGCCCCGAGAUGAGUUCUCCCUGACUCCUUGAGAGUCCUGAAGGAACGUUGAAGACGACGACGUUGAUAGGCCGGGUGUGUAAGCGCAGCGAUGCGUUGAGCUAACCGGUACUAAUGAACCGUGAGGCUUAACCUU